This 98-nucleotide non-coding RNA is filed under the name bovine gut metagenome. Its description in RNAcentral is "THF riboswitch". It matches the Rfam family "THF (Tetrahydrofolate) riboswitch aptamer". Rfam says of the family: THF riboswitch presents a pseudoknot that joins P1-P2 and the loop of P3 and two THF binding. The record is from RNAcentral.
GCAGAGUAGAUUUGCACGUGAUCAGUGCCGACGGGACGGGGAGUUGUCCGCCGGACGAAAGGGAGCGAUCCCGCAGUGUGCAUUUCGCAUCCCGCUGC